UGAGGAUAUGAAGAGAAAUGAGAGAGUGCCUCUAGAUGGAAGUUCCUUCCCCACGAACUGAAGCAGAGUCUGCACCAGACCCUCACAAUUAGGGAUCAGGGAUGUUACAGAAAUCACCAGUGCAGCCCAGUUCCCAUCCAGAACUCUGGGAAAGGGGCCUAGGUUGACUCAGUAAGCCCCAACCUCUGGCCAAGCAGUGAAACCCUUGUUGCCCAGCAAUGAAGUAGGGUUUGUCUUGAGUCUUACGGGCUCAAAUAAAGGAAAAUAGCCUGGUAGUGCAUAUAUUAGAGUGACCGAAUUCAGAGGCAGCUCUGCUUCUCCAUCCCAGGUCCCCGUGAGUAAAACGGGGUCCAGCAGAGGGACGUGCUGACUUCUGGGCACUCGCGGAACGUGGGGUGCACGCUGCGGGUCCUGGGGCCGAGGCUCGGGUAAUGAAGUGUAGAAGCGUGCGAAAACCCCGAUUAAAGAAGUCUACCCUAUUGCCCACAAGCCUACCCGGCUGGACCCACCGACCGGAAGUGCUCAUGUACGUCAGCGAGGCUCCCAGACGGGCGGCAGUAAGGGAGGACGGAAGUGACCGCAGAGGCCUCUGGGGAGUGUAGUUCUGGAGGAAGGCGGAGGACGGGGGGUUGGCUUCGCUCACGCAGGAUUCCUCCGAAACCCGCACUGCUCAUACAACCAAGUUGGGAUUCCAUUAAGAUUCCCAGACCUCGAGGUCUUGGCUCUCUACAGAUGUGUUUCUGCAGAGGCCAGUGUGCACUGCUCUUCAGCGACUCUCGCAUGUCUCUUCAUUUCUCAGCUCAAACUACUUGUUUGGGAGGAAGGAGCAGAGAUUCAGCUGGAAACUUGAAAAGCAGCCAAGAAAUUCACUGUGGAAGAAGCAGACAUCCCAUAGAACUCUGAAUCAUUCGUACAGAUGCCCUUACCCAUGGCAACCAGGUUGCUGUAGUUCUCCAGCAUCACAUCUCUGUACAAGUCCCUCUGAGUAGGGUCCAGGCACUCCCACUCCUCCUGAGAGAAGUCUACAGACACAUCACUGAACGUCACUGGUCCCUGAAACAAUAAACAUAUGCACUAAUUGUAUACUAAAAGAAAUACUCCAAUGCAAGUAUUUUGAGGUAAAACAAAUUAAUAAUUUUACUGGUAUCACUAAGAACUAGUAUUUUUGUAUCUCAGGAAUAGAUGGAAGAGUAAUAAGUUUAUUUUAUAUUAAACAAAUGGAGUCCUGCUGUGCAGCUGCAGAGUUAAGAGCUGGGCAGAGCCAGACUUGACGAUGUCACCAGAGCCACAGGCCUCUCUUGACCAUGCGGACUUCCUGAUUCUGAGGCAAAGUUCAAGAGCUUGUCCUUCGCAGUUCUCCAUAGUCUUCUACAAACACAAGCAUUGGCUGUUGAACAUGCAAGGGGCUGAAAAUCUGGCAUCAUCAAGAAACCAGCAAAGGAACCAGCAUUAUGGUUAAGCCACCUUUGGAAAAGCAGCAAGUGCUUGGGCCCCUGCCACCCACAUGGAGACCCACAUGGAAUUCCAGGCUCCUGGCCCAGCCCUGGCUGUUGCAGCUAUUUGGAGAGUGGAUGGAAGAUCUUUUCCUCUGUCACUCUGCCUUUGAAGCAAAUAAAAUAAAUCUUUAAUUAAAAAAA
Long non-coding RNA from Oryctolagus cuniculus (rabbit), 1637 nucleotides. RefSeq lists it as uncharacterized. The record is from RefSeq and is a predicted model, not a curated record. NCBI's taxonomy places the organism in Eukaryota, Metazoa, Chordata, Mammalia, Lagomorpha, Leporidae.